This 2802-nucleotide ribosomal RNA is filed under the name Escherichia coli. RNAcentral describes it as "partial 23S ribosomal RNA". It matches the Rfam family "Bacterial large subunit ribosomal RNA". Lineage: Bacteria; Pseudomonadati; Pseudomonadota; Gammaproteobacteria; Enterobacterales; Enterobacteriaceae. The record is from RNAcentral.
GGGUUGUGAGGUUAAGCGACUAAGCGUACACGGUGGAUGCCCUGGCAGUCAGAGGCGAUGAAGGACGUGCUAAUCUGCGAUAAGCGUCGGUAAGGUGAUAUGAACCGUUAUAACCGGCGAUUUCCGAAUGGGGAAACCCAGUGUGAUUCGUCACACUAUCAUUAACUGAAUCCAUAGGUUAAUGAGGCGAACCGGGGGAACUGAAACAUCUAAGUACCCCGAGGAAAAGAAAUCAACCGAGAUUCCCCCAGUAGCGGCGAGCGAACGGGGAGCAGCCCAGAGCCUGAAUCAGUGUGUGUGUUAGUGGAAGCGUCUGGAAAGGCGCGCGAUACAGGGUGACAGCCCCGUACACAAAAAUGCACAUGCUGUGAGCUCGAUGAGUAGGGCGGGACACGUGGUAUCCUGUCUGAAUAUGGGGGGACCAUCCUCCAAGGCUAAAUACUCCUGACUGACCGAUAGUGAACCAGUACCGUGAGGGAAAGGCGAAAAGAACCCCGGCGAGGGGAGUGAAAAAGAACCUGAAACCGUGUACGUACAAGCAGUGGGAGCACGCUUAGGCGUGUGACUGCGUACCUUUUGUAUAAUGGGUCAGCGACUUAUAUUCUGUAGCAAGGUUAACCGAAUAGGGGAGCCGAAGGGAAACCGAGUCUUAACUGGGCGUUAAGUUGCAGGGUAUAGACCCGAAACCCGGUGAUCUAGCCAUGGGCAGGUUGAAGGUUGGGUAACACUAACUGGAGGACCGAACCGACUAAUGUUGAAAAAUUAGCGGAUGACUUGUGGCUGGGGGUGAAAGGCCAAUCAAACCGGGAGAUAGCUGGUUCUCCCCGAAAGCUAUUUAGGUAGCGCCUCGUGAAUUCAUCUCCGGGGGUAGAGCACUGUUUCGGCAAGGGGGUCAUCCCGACUUACCAACCCGAUGCAAACUGCGAAUACCGGAGAAUGUUAUCACGGGAGACACACGGCGGGUGCUAACGUCCGUCGUGAAGAGGGAAACAACCCAGACCGCCAGCUAAGGUCCCAAAGUCAUGGUUAAGUGGGAAACGAUGUGGGAAGGCCCAGACAGCCAGGAUGUUGGCUUAGAAGCAGCCAUCAUUUAAAGAAAGCGUAAUAGCUCACUGGUCGAGUCGGCCUGCGCGGAAGAUGUAACGGGGCUAAACCAUGCACCGAAGCUGCGGCAGCGACGCUUAUGCGUUGUUGGGUAGGGGAGCGUUCUGUAAGCCUGUGAAGGUGUACUGUGAGGUAUGCUGGAGGUAUCAGAAGUGCGAAUGCUGACAUAAGUAACGAUAAAGCGGGUGAAAAGCCCGCUCGCCGGAAGACCAAGGGUUCCUGUCCAACGUUAAUCGGGGCAGGGUGAGUCGACCCCUAAGGCGAGGCCGAAAGGCGUAGUCGAUGGGAAACAGGUUAAUAUUCCUGUACUUGGUGUUACUGCGAAGGGGGGACGGAGAAGGCUAUGUUGGCCGGGCGACGGUUGUCCCGGUUUAAGCGUGUAGGCUGGUUUUCCAGGCAAAUCCGGAAAAUCAAGGCUGAGGCGUGAUGACGAGGCACUACGGUGCUGAAGCAACAAAUGCCCUGCUUCCAGGAAAAGCCUCUAAGCAUCAGGUAACAUCAAAUCGUACCCCAAACCGACACAGGUGGUCAGGUAGAGAAUACCAAGGCGCUUGAGAGAACUCGGGUGAAGGAACUAGGCAAAAUGGUGCCGUAACUUCGGGAGAAGGCACGCUGAUAUGUAGGUGAAGUCCCUCGCGGAUGGAGCUGAAAUCAGUCGAAGAUACCAGCUGGCUGCAACUGUUUAUUAAAAACACAGCACUGUGCAAACACGAAAGUGGACGUAUACGGUGUGACGCCUGCCCGGUGCCGGAAGGUUAAUUGAUGGGGUCAGCGCAAGCGAAGCUCUUGAUCGAAGCCCCGGUAAACGGCGGCCGUAACUAUAACGGUCCUAAGGUAGCGAAAUUCCUUGUCGGGUAAGUUCCGACCUGCACGAAUGGCGUAAUGAUGGCCAGGCUGUCUCCACCCGAGACUCAGUGAAAUUGAACUCGCUGUGAAGAUGCAGUGUACCCGCGGCAAGACGGAAAGACCCCGUGAACCUUUACUAUAGCUUGACACUGAACAUUGAGCCUUGAUGUGUAGGAUAGGUGGGAGGCUUUGAAGUGUGGACGCCAGUCUGCAUGGAGCCGACCUUGAAAUACCACCCUUUAAUGUUUGAUGUUCUAACGUGGACCCGUAAUCCGGGUUGCGGACAGUGUCUGGUGGGUAGUUUGACUGGGGCGGUCUCCUCCUAAAGAGUAACGGAGGAGCACGAAGGUUGGCUAAUCCUGGUCGGACAUCAGGAGGUUAGUGCAAUGGCAUAAGCCAGCUUGACUGCGAGCGUGACGGCGCGAGCAGGUGCGAAAGCAGGUCAUAGUGAUCCGGUGGUUCUGAAUGGAAGGGCCAUCGCUCAACGGAUAAAAGGUACUCCGGGGAUAACAGGCUGAUACCGCCCAAGAGUUCAUAUCGACGGCGGUGUUUGGCACCUCGAUGUCGGCUCAUCACAUCCUGGGGCUGAAGUAGGUCCCAAGGGUAUGGCUGUUCGCCAUUUAAAGUGGUACGCGAGCUGGGUUUAGAACGUCGUGAGACAGUUCGGUCCCUAUCUGCCGUGGGCGCUGGAGAACUGAGGGGGGCUGCUCCUAGUACGAGAGGACCGGAGUGGACGCAUCACUGGUGUUCGGGUUGUCAUGCCAAUGGCACUGCCCGGUAGCUAAAUGCGGAAGAGAUAAGUGCUGAAAGCAUCUAAGCACGAAACUUGCCCCGAGAUGAGUUCUCCCUGAC